GGAGGGUGCAAGCGUUGUUCGGAAUUAUUGGGCGUAAAGAGCGUGUAGGCGGCCGGAUGUGUCAAAUGUGAAAGCCCUGAGCUCAACUCAGGAAGUGCAUUUGAAACUGUCCGGCUCGAGUAGGGGAGAGGGAAGUGGAAUUCCUGGUGUAGAGGUGAAAUUCGUAGAUAUCAGGAGGAACACCGGUGGCGAAGGCGACUUCCUGGCCCUAUACUGACGCUGAGACGCGAGAGCGUGGGUAGCAAACAGGAUUAGAUACCCUGGUAGUCCACGCCGUAAACGAUGUUCACUAGGUGUUGGGGGUAUUGACCCCCUCAGUGCCGGAGCUAACGCAUUAAGUGAACCGCCUGGGGAGUACGGCCGCAAGGCUA
Molecule: ribosomal RNA, 371 nt
Filed under: uncultured bacterium
Lineage: Bacteria
Description: bacterial SSU rRNA
Rfam family: Bacterial small subunit ribosomal RNA
Source: RNAcentral